RNAcentral lists this ribosomal RNA (773 nucleotides) under uncultured Neocallimastigales. RNAcentral describes it as "partial large subunit ribosomal RNA". It matches the Rfam family "Eukaryotic large subunit ribosomal RNA", at positions 26 to 645 of the family's 3401-position model. Lineage: Eukaryota; Fungi; Neocallimastigomycota; Neocallimastigomycetes; Neocallimastigales. The record is from RNAcentral.
CGCAUCUGUGCAUGCAGCAUAUCAAUAAGCGGAGGAAAAGAGACUAACAAGGAUUCCCUUAGUAACGGCGAGUGAAGCGGGAAGAGCUCAAAUUUGAAAUCUUCAAGGUUUUACCUUGACGAAUUGUAGUUUAAAGGAGUGUUUUCUGUUGAGGUUUUGGUAAAAGUUCUUUGGAAUAGGACAUCAUAGAGGGUGAGAAUCCCGUAUUUGACCUUACUUUUCAACUUUGUGAUACACUUUCAAAGAGUCGGAUUGUUUGGGAAUGCAGUCCAAAGUGGGUGGUAAAUUUCAUCUAAAGCUAAAUAUUGGCGAGAGACCGAUAGCGAACAAGUACCGUGAGGGAAAGAUGAAAAGGACUUUGAAAAGAGAGUUAAACAGUACGUGAAAUUGUCAAAAGGGAAGCGUUUGACACCAGUGUUGUUUUCUCGAAAAUCAAUUAAAAAGAGUUAGAUUUUGUUGUGUAUUGACCUUAACAGCUUGCAUUUCAAUUUUCUUGCUUUUUUUAAUGCACUUUUCGUUUAACAAGUCAACAUCAGUUUCUUUUGUUGUAAAAAGGUCAUUGGAAGGUGGCUUUCUUUUCGGAGAAAGUGUUUAUAGCCUUUGACUCCUGCAAUCGGAGAGACUGAGGUCUGCAGCGUAGAUCCUUCGGGGUUAGAUACAUUUGUGCUAAGUUAUAGCUUUUUAUAGACAACUUGUUGACUAUGAUUAGUCUUGUAGCUUACUCGCUUAUGCUAUUUUACCUACGCUUAGGAUGUUGAUGUGAUACUGCGAGC